AUACGGAGGGUGCGAGCGUUGUUCGGAAUUAUUGGGCGUAAAGAGCAUGUAGGCGGUCUGUUAAGUCUGGUGAGAAAGCCCGGGGCUCAACCCCGGAAGUGCAUUGGAUACUGGCAGACUUGAGUAUGGGAGAGGAAAGCGGAAUUCCGAGUGUAGGAGUGAAAUCCGUAGAUAUUCGGAGGAACACCAGUGGCGAAGGCGGCUUUCUGGACCAAUGCUGACGCUGAGAUGCGAAAGCGUGGGGAGCAAACAGGAUUAGAAACCCCAGUAGUCC
Molecule: ribosomal RNA, 274 nt
Filed under: uncultured bacterium
Lineage: Bacteria
Description: partial 16S ribosomal RNA
Rfam family: Bacterial small subunit ribosomal RNA
Source: RNAcentral